AAGCCGUGGUGUGGACAAUCUCUCUGAUAACCUUUGAAACGUUCCCAUGAAGCCUUGAAUGCUUCAAUUGGUCCUUGAACGAACGUGGAGAUCUUAGCUCGUAGAUCCU
Arabis alpina (gray rockcress) is the source of this 109-nucleotide small nucleolar RNA. It matches the Rfam family "Plant small nucleolar RNA R71". From Rfam's summary of the family: R71 is a member of the C/D box family of snoRNAs containing the C (UGAUGA) and D (CUGA) box motifs. Multiple nearly identical copies of this snoRNA have been identified in Arabidopsis, and it is thought to function as a 2'-O-ribose methylation guide for 18S ribosomal RNA. The record is from Rfam. Lineage: Eukaryota; Viridiplantae; Streptophyta; Magnoliopsida; Brassicales; Brassicaceae.